UCAGUCCAGUUCUUAUUGAAGAGAUACUUCUUUCUCUCAGGAAAUGAUGUGGUCAUGUAAUCGAUUACCAUGCCACAUGUAUCAGCUUAAGUGCUUGUAAAUAAGUCAAAUUAUUUAAAGUAUAAUAAUCUGCAGUAAAGGACUUCAGUUUGUUUUUUUCCAAAUUCAUCAUGAAAAGUUGCUGAUCACACAUUUUCAGCAAUAUGCGUACUUUAAGAUUAUAUAAAAUUACUUUUCAUGGACUAUAUUUAAUCUUCUGGAGAUAAACUGAAAAGAUGACUGUUUCAGUUGGCAGGACUGGUUGAUCAUUCAUCUCUCCUCAACAUUUGGAAAAAGAAAAGAAAGAAGACAAGACUCCUAAAGGGGAUCUUCCUGACCCAGGGAUCAACCUGCAUGUCCUGCAUUGGCAGGAGGAUUUUUUUUCACUGAGCUACCUGGAAAGCCCUUUGUGCACACUAGUUUUUAUUAAAUACCAGAUUUCCGUUUCCUCAUUCCAUUUUCCCAUAUGGGAAAAGAAAACACAUUCUUCAAAAUGAAUGAUAAGCUUUAGAGUGUGGUCAUUGGUUGUCACACUUCCUGCCUGGAUUCACAUCCUGACUCCUGUGUACAUGUGUGAUCUUAGGUAAGGGCCUUAAACCACACUGUGCUUUGUUUUUCUCAUUUGUGAAAUAACACUUAGUACCUUCCAAACAGAGUUUGCUAUGAGGAUAAAAUAAAAUAAUGGCUGCUAAGGGCUUACUCAUUACAAUGCCAUUGUAAAUUUUCAAUGAUGCUGUUUUUUAUUAUUAUUGUUAGUAUGUUACUGCAGACAGUUCAAUAAAAUAUUAAAUCAGUAUAUGAAAGAGGGUAAUAUUUUUCACCUAAGUUGGUUUUUUAUGUUUUCUGGUUUAAUGAAUGGUUUUCCAACAUUUUUUCAUUAUUGGCACACCUAUGAAUUUAGUAAAUAGUGUGAAAGAAUAAAGUAAAAUGGAUGUAAAAACAAUCUAAAAGGUAAAUGAUUUCUUCUUCAAUCAUCUCAAAACUAAGAUCAUUGUAUUUAAAUAUAUAAAGUUAGGUAUUUUAUUACCUGGGUGAUUUUCCUACUAUUUG
Molecule: long non-coding RNA, 1089 nt
Filed under: Capra hircus (goat)
Lineage: Eukaryota; Metazoa; Chordata; Mammalia; Artiodactyla; Bovidae
Description: lncRNA (ENSCHIG00010003618.1)
Source: RNAcentral